GGGCUAGUAGCGUAGGGGUUAUCGCGUUCGCUUUGCAUUCAUAGGACUGAGAUUUGUGAUAGUUUCCAUUGCGAAAGGUCUCCGGUCCAAAUCCGGACUAGUCCA
Non-coding RNA from Collybiopsis luxurians FD-317 M1, 105 nucleotides. The record is from the annotation of a GenBank genome assembly. Lineage: Eukaryota; Fungi; Basidiomycota; Agaricomycetes; Agaricales; Omphalotaceae.